CCUGGCUCAGGAUGAACGCUAGCGACAGGCCUAACACAUGCAAGUCGAGGGGCAGCGCGGGAGAAGCUUGCUUUCCUGGCGGCGACCGGCGCACGGGUGCGUAACAGGUGUGCAAUCUGUCCAUAGUCGGGGGAUAGCCCAGCGAAAGCUGAAUUAACACUCCAUGUGAAUCGAAGCCGCAUGACUUUGAUUUGAAACGCGAGGACUAUGGGUGAGCACGCUUCUGAUUAGCUAGUUGGUGGGGUAACGGCUCACCAAGGCGACGAUCAGUAGGGUUCUGAGAGGAAGGUCCCCCACAUUGGAACUGAGACACGGUCCAAACUCCUACGGGAGGCAGCAGUGAGGAAUAUUGGUCAAUGGGCGAGAGCCUGAACCAGCCAAGUCGCGUGAAGGAUGGAGGUUCUAUGGAUUGUAAACUUCUUUUGUCCGAGGGUAAAAAAGGCCACGUGUGGCUUCUUGCAAGUAUCGGACGAAUAAGCAUCGGCUAACUCCGUGCCAGCCGCCGC
Molecule: ribosomal RNA, 506 nt
Filed under: uncultured bacterium
Lineage: Bacteria
Description: bacterial SSU rRNA
Rfam family: Bacterial small subunit ribosomal RNA
Source: RNAcentral